This 1026-nucleotide long non-coding RNA is filed under the name Callithrix jacchus (white-tufted-ear marmoset). RNAcentral's name for it is "lncRNA (ENSCJAG00000058884.2)". The record is from RNAcentral. Lineage: Eukaryota; Metazoa; Chordata; Mammalia; Primates; Cebidae.
GAAAAUGGACCCCAGGAAGAGCAGCAAGCUAAGAGCAGAAUCAGGAUCAAUGCAGGCUGCAUUGCGUUGCUUGUGAGGAGCCCCCUUCAAGACUGCAGAAAGGAAGCCAUCACAUGCCCUUGGCCAGAAGCCUGGCAUCCUGAAAUUUCAAGAGGAUUUAUGCUCUUAUGGACUCACUGGGAAGAAAUCUCCAGACCAACUCCUAAAGGCUGACCUAAUUGGGAGAAACUCGCAAGUUUUAGAUCUGUGUAAGAACAGCAGUAGGAAUACUCUAAGCUUGGCUUUUGACACAGGACAUUUCCUUAGGGGCAUCUGGGAUCUCUGCUGCCUCGAAGUGAUGCACUGCAGCCAAGAAGUGAGCAGAAAGGAAAGGGGGUGCCGCACAGAACGAGCUCCUUCCAGGUUGACACCAAGUGGAAUUCUCAAAGAGCCACAUCUGGAGGCAGCAGCUAUACAGUGAUUCACAUUGUAAAUGAUGUUUUGAAAUAGAGAUCAUUAGUAACCACAGAUGUGACCCAGCUCUGUCCCCCGGAUAAUCUGUCUAUUGUAUCUAAAUUCCAGACUUGGAAUUUAGGACACCCAGUGGAAUGUUUAAUAGGCAUUGUCCAACACCAUCCCCAAGUCUGUUCUUAUUCAUGAAGUACUCUAACAUCAUCUCGCUUGGUCUUCCUGAUGACUGUAAUGCAGACAGGGAACAGGGAAAGCCAUAAGGACUUGUACAAGGACCCAAGGCUACAAAGGGAAGGGCUGAGACCAGACCUCAGGUUUUCAGCCUUCAGGUGCUGUGAAGAUUGAGUGACUUAGCAUGAGCUUUCAGCCAGGCAAGCUGCAAAGUGCACCCAAGUUCUUUCAGCGAUCAACACUUGCGACUUUGGUUGAGACAAUUUUCAUCCUCCCUGAACCUCAGUUUUCCCAUCUGUAAAAAAUAAACAUUGCCUGCCUGGGAGGAUGGAGGUGAAAGUGGAUUGAGGUCACAUGUAACUCCUAGCACCCUGCCUGAGACAGCAAAGAUUCAAUUAUAGCAGU